This 119-nucleotide ribosomal RNA is filed under the name Pteropus alecto (black flying fox). The record is from RNAcentral. Lineage: Eukaryota; Metazoa; Chordata; Mammalia; Chiroptera; Pteropodidae. RNAcentral also lists the same sequence under 1 other name.
GUCUACAGCCAUGCCACCCUGAACAUGCCCGAUCUUGUCUGAUCUCGGAAGCUAAGCAGGGUUGGGCCUGGUUAGUACCUGGAUGUGAGACCACCUAGGAAUACCAGGUGCUGUAGGUG